AACGAACGCUGGCGGCAUGCCUAACACAUGCAAGUUGAACGAGAUCUUCGGGUCUAGUGGCGCACGGGUGCGUAACGCGUGGGAAUCUGCCCUUUGGUUCGGAAUAACAGUUGGAAACGACUGCUAAUACCGGAUGAUGACGAAAGUCCAAAGAUUUAUCGCCAGAGGAUGAGCCCGCGUAGGAUUAGCUAGUUGGUGUGGUAAAGGCGCACCAAGGCGACGAUCCUUAGCUGGUCUGAGAGGAUGAUCAGCCACACUGGGACUGAGACACGGCCCAGACUCCUACGGGAGGCAGCAGUGGGGAAUAUUGGACAAUGGGCGAAAGCCUGAUCCAGCAAUGCCGCGUGAGUGGUGAAGGCCUUAGGGUUGUAAAGCUCUUUUACCCGGGAUGAUAAUGACAGUACCGGGAGAAUAAGCUCCGGCUAACUCCGUGCCAGCAGCCGCCGUAA
This 449-nucleotide ribosomal RNA is filed under the name uncultured bacterium. Its description in RNAcentral is "partial 16S ribosomal RNA". It matches the Rfam family "Bacterial small subunit ribosomal RNA", at positions 29 to 523 of the family's 1533-position model. The record is from RNAcentral.